AGACGUCUACAUUAGAUACCCCCGUAGUCCCAGCCGUAAACUAUGCGCGUUAGGUGUAUCGGUGACCACGAGUUACCGAGGUGCCGAAGGGAAACCGUGAAACGUGCCGCCUGGGAAGUACGGUCGCAAGGCUGAAACUUAAAGGAAUUGGCGGGGAGCACCACAACAGGUGGAGCCUGCGGUUUAAUUGGACUCAACGCCGGGAAGCUCACCGGAUAGGACAGCAGAAUGAUUGCCGGGCUGAAGACUCUGCAUGACUAGCUG
RNAcentral lists this ribosomal RNA (264 nucleotides) under uncultured archaeon. Its description in RNAcentral is "partial 16S ribosomal RNA". It matches the Rfam family "Archaeal small subunit ribosomal RNA", at positions 714 to 982 of the family's 1478-position model. The record is from RNAcentral.